AGCAUUCGUCCCCCAGGCAGAAAGGACUCGCCUAGGGAGCCAGCGCGGUCCCAAAGGAGCCGCCGGCCCUGCCUCCCGGGAUCCGACCCCCGGUGCAGCCAGCCUGAAGUCGCCCGAGGGCAGGGCCGACCUCACCGAGCCGGGAAUGGCGUCUCAGGGGCAAGUGAGAACUGGCCUGAGAAGGGGACGGUAGGGGCAGAAGACGCCAGGCUGCCUCUUGGACCAGCAGCGCCGGCCCAGAGCCACACGACUCUCUGUGGCACUGGCGACAAAGCGGGGAAAGUUUCUGGCUAAGACUUUCACGGAGAGGCAGUUCGCUGGCGUUUAGUGUGGGGGCUCCCCGGGGAAGCCGGUCUUUGGAAAGUGGAGGGUGGAGGUGUGGCGUUCUCGGGGUCCCCGCCGAGUCGUGCCACCACCCCGUCCCGCUCCCCGAGCACUGCCAGCAGCCCCAGGCGAGCCGGGGCUCUCCGUGGGGCAGGGCACGCUUCUGCCCCCACUCCACUCCACAGUGAGAGCCCACGUCCGUGGGUGCAACGAGCUGCAGGAGCACCGGACACACGGCCAAGAUGUGUUUUUGGGAGGGCAGAGCGGUUUUCAUUGCGGCAUUCUUCGUUUCCUUUCAUCCUGGAGAGAGGAGAGGGCGGGCGCCUUCCCACGCCCUGGGCGCACAGGCAGAUCACUUACCUCCCCGCAUGGCCGCGCCGGGAGGUUUGCCCCGCGCGGAGCUCGGCGGCCGCCACGCGCAAAGCCCCGGUGCAGCCGGCCGGACGCGCGCGGCACGCCGGGAGUUGUAGUCCAGCGCCGGUCGGCGGGGGUCGGAGGGGCGGGGGCCCCCAGGAAUGGGGAAGGCCAGUACUAGAAGGGACAAGAUCUGGGCAGGACAAGGGAGGAUAUUUGCAAAAACUUAAAACUUCCAGGAAGAUGGGGGGAGGGGAACCCUCCUAGAGAGAUUUUUAAAGUGAGGUUUUUUUAGGUUAAUGCCAUUUUCUUCCUGUCUUACUCGCUUAUGACAACCCCAAUGAAGUUUUAAGCUGGACUCUGGCAGUAAUGUUAAGUAGAGAUUUUCUCGGCCAACUUCAUAUUAUUUAGGGUUCUAUUCUUCCUUCACCUUGAACACAGAUGUGCCAUUCUCUGCUUGGAUGCACACAGAAUAUUCUUGCUCACAGAAUAACUCAGUUGAAGCCCUGAGCAUGUAAAAGGAGGCCUCUCUUAGCAGCUGGGAAGAGAGAGUGGAGAGAAAGAGGGAUCAGGACAGAUGUGGACACGGCAGAAGAAGAGGAGCCUGCUGUGACGGACUUCCUUGAAAUGACAAACAAGUAAAUAUUUAAGGGAAUAAGUAAAACCAAAAGAAGGACUCAUGGGUUGGAAGAAUGGAAGGAGAAGGAAAAGGCAGAUGGGAUAGGGAUAGACAUUGAAGAUUGCAAACAGGCUAGUAGCAAAGAAAGCAAAAACAAACAGGGUUUUUAGAAGCCAGAUAAACCUUGGAUUCCUGGUGUUGUCACUUCUGAGCUAUCUCUGUUACCUUAGGUAAGUUCUUUAACCUCCCCAAACCUCUUUUGCCUCAUCUGUAAAAUUAAAAAAAAAAAAGUUCUGACUUUAUCAUGUGGCUGUGCCUAUUAAAAAGAGACAGGAAGCACAUAGUAUAGUGCUGGGCAUAUGCUAGGCAAUUAAUGUUAUUUACUAUUAUUAUCUGCAGAAAUUCUCUUUGUGUUAGUAUCAAAAAAUAAAUUGGAGUGGAAGUACCAGUUAGGAGGCUGUGACAAUACUCUAAGCUACUGGCAAUGAUAGCUUGAACUACAUUGACAGAAAGGCAACUAUGUUGCCAUAUGAGAUAGGGAAAACAGAGUACAAUCAAUUGGAUGUGGGGAAGGAAGAAAAAGAAUCAAAUUGGUUGUUAUUUCUAGAUUAAGUAGAUGAUGUUGUCAUUUUCAUAAAUAGAUACAACUGAUGGAAAAACAGGUUUUGGAGGAAGAUGACCACUGGCUUUCCUCAUUUUAUUGUGCUUUGCUUUAUUGCAGUUCACAGACAAUGUGUUUUUGUUGUUGUUGUUGUUGUUUAUUUUACAAAUUGACAGUUUUUGGUAACCCUGUGUUGAACAAGUCUAUUAGUGCAAUUUUUCCAGCAGUAUGUGCUCACUUCAUGUCUCUGUGUCACAUUUUGGGCAUUCUCAUAAUAUUUGAAAGUUUUUCAUUUUUAUUGUAUCUGUUGUGGUGAUCUGUGAUCACUGAUCUUUGAUGUUACGAUUGUAAUUGUUUUAGGGUGCCACAGACCAUGCCCAUUAAUCUAUAAAUGUUGUGUGUGUUCUGACUGCUCCACUUACCAGCUGUUCCCCUCCUCUCUCCCUCUCCUGCUCCUCCCUAUUCCCUGAGACACAACAAUAUUGAAAUUCGGCCAAUUAAUAUCCUUACCAUGGCCUCUAAGUGUUCAAGUGAAAGGAAGAGUCAUACUUCUCUCACUUCAAAUCAAAAGCUAGAAAUGAUAAACUUAGUGAGGAAGGCAUGUCAGAAAUCCAGAUAAGCAAAAGUUAGACGUCCGGUGCCAAACAGUUAGCCAAAUUGUGAAUGCAAACAAAAAGUUCUUGAAGGAAAUUAAAAAUGCUGUUCUAACGCAUACCUGAAUGAUAAGAAAGUGAAACAGUCUUAUUCCUGAUAUGGAGAAAGUUUUAGCGGUCUGCAUAGAGGAUCAAACCAGCCCCAACAUUCCUUUAAGCCAAAGCCUAAUCCAGAGCAAGGCCCUAACUCAAGGGUGGAGAGGUAAGGAAACUGUAGAAAAGUUUGAAGCUAGCAGAGUUUGAUUUCUUAAACGAGGUUUAAGAAAAGAAGCAUAACAAUGAAGUACAAGGUGAAGAAGCAAGUGCUGAUGGAGAAGCUGUAACACGUUAUCCGGAAGAUCUAGCAAAGGUAGAUGGAGGUGGCUACAAUAAUCAGCAGUUUAUCAAUGUAGACUUAAUAGCCUUCUAUUGGAAGAAGAUGCCAUGUAAGAUUUUUCUAGCCAGAGAAAAGUCAAAGCCUAACUUCAAAGCUUCAAAGGACAGGCUUAUUAGGGGCUAAUGCACCCAGUGAUCUUAAGUUGAAGCCAAUUUUCAUUUACCAUUAUGAAAAUUCUAGGGCCCUCAAGAAUUAUGCUAAAUUGACUUUACUUGUGCUUUAUAGAUGAGACAAAAAGGCCUGGGUGACAGCAUAUCUGUUUACAACAUGAUUUUCUGAAAAUUUUAAGCCUACUGUUGAGAACUACUACUCACAAAAAAAGAUUCCUUUCAAAAUAUUAGUGCUCAUUGACAAUACACCUGUUCAGCCAAGAACUCUGAUGGAGAUGUACAAGAAGAUGAAUGUUGUUUUCAUGCCAGCUAGUAAAACAUCCAUUCUGUAGCCCAUGGAUCAAGCAGCAAAUCUGACUCUCAAUUCUUAUUAUUUAAGAAAUCCUUUUUAUAAGUCUAUAGCAUCCAUAGAUAAUGAUUCCUCUGAUGGAGCUGGGCAUCAUAAUUGAAAGCCUUCUGGAAAGGAUUCAUCAUCUUAUAUGCCAUUAAGAACGUUCAUAAUUCAUGAGAGGAGGUCAAAAUAUAACAUUAACAUGAGUUUGGAAGAAGCUGAUUCCAAGCCUCAUGGAUAACUUUGAGGGGUUCAAGACUUCAGUGGAUGAAGUCCCUGCAGAUGUGAUAGAAAUAGCAAGAGAAAUAGAAUUGGAAGUGGUGCAUGAAGAUAUGACUGAAUUGCUGCAAUCUCAUGAUCAAACUUGAAUGGAUGAGGAGGUGCUUCUUAUGAUUGAGCAAAUAAAGUGGUUUCUUGAGAUGGAAACUAUUCCUGGUGAAUAUGCUAUGAACAUUGUUCAAGUGACAACAGAGAAUUUAGAAUAUUUCAUAAACAUAGCUGAUAAAGCAGCAUCAGGGUUUUAGAGGAUUGACUGCAAUUCUGAAAGAAGUUUUACUGUGGUUAAAAUGCUGUUCAGUAGCAUCACAUGCUACAGGGAAAUCUUUCAUUAAGGGAAGAGUCAAUUGAUGUGGCAAACUUUACUGUUAUCUUAAGAAAUUGCCACAGCCACGCCAACCAUCAGCAACCGACUACCCUAAUGAGUUACCAGCCAUCAACAUUGAAGCAAGACCCUCCACCAGCAAACAGAUUACAACUUGCUAAAGGCUUUAAGAUCGUUAGCAUUUUUUAAGCAAUAAAGUAUUUUUAAAUUAAGAUAUGCACUUUUUAAAAGAUAUAAUGCCAUUGCAUACUGAAUAUACUACAAUAUAGUGUAAACAUUUAUAUGCACUGGGAAACAAAAAAAUGUGUGUGACUUGCUUUAUUGCAGUGGUCUAGAACUGAGCCCACAAUGUUCCCGAGGGGCCUGCAGUUUGAUUUUGGACAUGCAUAACUUAAGGGUUUAUCUGUGUGAAUGACCAAGUGGAAGUUGGAAAUGUGGAUUUGGAUUUUUCAUGUAGAAAUGGGACUUUGAGAGUCAAUUACUUAGGAGAGGAAGUUGAAGAGCAUGUGAAGAGGAAAAAGGGAGGACAGCAGGCAUGGGCAUGGGGAGGUGGGAAGUCAGAUAAUAAUACCAGGCAGGAAUUGGUUAAGGAGGAAAGGAAAGCUGCAGGGGUGUAGUAACAUGGGGUGCAAGGGAGGAUGGAGAGAUGAGGAGCAGCUUCUUAACAGGUCAUAUGCUCUAGAGAGGUAGCCAAUGACAACAGAAAAGAGGCCUCUGGAUUUAUAGAUCAAGAAACUAUUGGGAUUGAACUGCUUCCAGGGUUUUUUUUUUGAAAUUUACCAGAGUGAUUUUGCUUGUCCCAGUGAUUGGGGAGUGUAUUAGUGCGUUUUCACACUGCUAUAAAGAAAUACCCAAGACUGAGUAAUUUAUAAAAAGGUUUAAUCGACUCACAGUUCCACAUGGCUGGGGAGGCCUCAGGAAACUUACAAUCAUGGAGGUAGGGGAAGCAGGCACUCUCUUCACAACAUGGCAGGAAAGAGAGAAGUGCUGUGAAGGAGGAACUUCCAAAGUUAUAAAACCAUAAGAUCUCAUGAGAACUCACUCACUAUCAUGAGAAGAGCCUGGGGGAAACUGCCUGCAUGAUCCAAUCACCUGCCUCCCUUGACACAUGGAGAUUACAAUUUGAGAUGAGAUUUGGUUGGAGACACAGAGCCAAACCAUAUGAGGGAGUGGGGCACUACUGGAAUAUAGUUGGUGGGGUCAAAGAUUCUAGACAUCUUCCAUUGACCAGGACAGUCGCGCAGAGCGAAGAAUUGUCCUGCAUCCUGUGUGACUUAGUUGUCCCACUGCUCAGCUCAUUUAUGUAGGUGAAAAAUCUGUUUAUAAUUAUCUGAGCCUAGAAUCUAUUUUAUAUAUAAACAUAAAUUGUUUUCCACACAGUUUUAAGUUAUAUCAAAUUUUCCUGGAAUGUUGUAAAUUGGAUGGCAAUAUCAUUUAUGGAAUUUGAAUCACCAAUACAGUUCAUUUUGUGGCUGUCUCUUUCAUGGUGAUUCUGCAUAUGGAACAAGUAUCUGACUACUUUAUUGUGUCUUUUAGCUUAGGGAUGCUUGAGCAGUUGCAUGUUGGAUCAUGCAGUUUUAUUAUUAUUAUUAUUAUUUUUUUUUUUUUUGAGACGAAGUCUCACUCUUGUCAUCCAGGCUGGAGUGCAAUAACGCUAUCUCAGCUCACUGCAACCUCUGCCUCCUGAGUUCAGCAGUUCUCCUGCCUCAGCCUCCCGAGUAGCUGGGAUUAUGGGUGCCUGCCACCACGCCCACCUAAUUUUUGUAUUUUGAGUAGAGACGGGGUUUCACCAUGUUGGCCAGGCUGGUCUUGAACUCCUGACCUCAGGCAAAUCACCUGCCUUGGCCUCCCAAAGUGCUGGGAUUACAGGUGUGAGCCACCGCGCCUGGUGGAUCAUGCAAUAUUUUAUGGUAAAUUACUUUAUUUUGUACUUUAUAUUAUAGUUAAGGUAUUGCUUUAAUUUUAGAAAAUUACAUAGGUAGGUAGCUUAUGGCUUCUACUUCACAAUGGUAAAAAGCAUAUUGUUUCAUAUUUGUUAUGAAAAGGGAUCAUUAAGAUUGACAAGAUGGAGAGCUAUUUAUUCCUUCAGUCAAUAAACAUCUCUGGAGUCCCUACUCAUUCUGGGUACUUGAGAUACAUCAAUAUAUGAAACAGAAAAAGUUUAUUGCCCUUUUGGAGUUAAUAUUGUAAUGUGGGAGAGGCAGAUGAUAAAUAAUAAACAUAAACAAAAUAAGUAAAUUCUCUAUUAGAAAGUUAUAAAUGCUGUGAAAAAUAAAAGGAGGAUAAAGGCAGUUGGGAGUGCAGGAGAGGGUGUGGGUUGAAAUGUUAAAUAUAAUGAUCAGGGUAAACUUCAUUGAGAAGGUGAUAAUCAAGGAAAGAUCUGGAGUUGGUAAGAGAAUGGCCUUGUGGAUUUCUGAGAAAAGAAAUAGCAAGGAUGCCAGUGUGGUUGGAUAUGGGCAGGGGUCAAGUAGAAGGAGGACAGGAAAACCCCGGGGCUGGAAACAAAUAAUGUAGGGCUUGUGGGCAUUGCAAGAAAUUUCAGCUUUCACUCUGAAUGAAAUGGGCAGCUGUUGGAGAGUUCAGAGCGGAAGAGUGACAUGGUCAGGCAUAGGUUUAAAGGAUUAUUCUGGCUGCUCUAUCAAGGAUAAAUCUUAACAGGCAAUGGUGGAAGCAGACUAGGCAAGAUGCUAUUGUAGUAAUCCAGGCAAGAAAUAUUAGUGGCUUGAACUAGAGUGGUAGCAACGAAAAGUGAUGGUGUGGAUGUGGAAAAGAAAUCAAGAAUUCUAUAGGGCAUAUUGGAAGAGUUUCAGGGGUUUGGGAGGGACGGAAGAUGGAGAUACAUUAAAGUAUGUUCAGGGCCUUAUAGGAAUGGGACUUGGGGGAUGACCUAGUAGUCUAGGACUUCUUGUGGUGACUCACAUAAACAGGGAUAAAGGGUAUAAUGAAAUCAGUCCCAGAGAAGGCAAGAAAUAAAAUGGUGAAGAGGUUGUGAGUGUGGGGGGUAUUGAUGAAUGUUUGAGUUCCCUGACUCUGGAUGGAGCUGAGAAUCAGGUGGACUCUUGAUCCACGUUGAUGGAAUGUUGAAGGCCUGGGGAGAGGAGGACUCAGUUCCUAGGCCAACGCUUAUUCAUCACUCCUGUCAGGAGCAGGCUGACUUGUUCAGAGUGAGUAGUCCUCUCUACCUCUGCUCUUGACCUUUUUGAUGGACUUAGCCCUUUUGAUGCAGUUGAGGAUUGGGGCAAGCUGGUAAUUACUCUAAGCACAAAGGCCCAGAAACAAUGAUGAUUCAAUAAAGUAUAUUCUAGAACACAGACUGAGGUAGACUUAAAAUUCUGGAAAUGGAGAAAUUUUGAGAAAUUUGGCAAAUGGGGAAUUUUGGCAAAGAAGGGCAGGAGAAGGUUUGGUCCUUAAUGUGGAAGGAUGCUCUAAGAUUGGGGAUAGCAGACAACUGUGUUUGUACAGUGAAGUGAAGAAGCCACUAGAUGCAGAAAUGUGAAAAUUCAGAACAGAGGGUGUAACUGAUGUAAUAUUUUCCUAGAGAAGAAGGAACUAUUGAUUGUUGAUCUUUGGAAGAAAAGUGGCAUAGUUUCUUCCUAUAAGAAAAGAAAGAGGCCAGGCGCAGUGGCUCAUGCCUGUAAUCCCAGCACUUUAGGAGACUGAGGCAGGCAGAUCACUUGAGGCCAGGAGUUCGAGAACAGCCUGGCCAAUGUGGUGAAACCCUGUCUCUACUAAAAUACAAAAAUUAGCCGGGCGUGGUGGCAGGCACCUGUAAUCCCAGCUACUCAGGAGGCUGAGGCAGGAGAAUUACUUGAACCCAGGAGGUAGAGGUUACAGUGAGCUGGGAUCAUGCCAUUGCACUCCAGCCUGGGCGACAGAGCGAGACUCCAACUCAAAAAAAUAAAAAAAGAAAAGAAAGAAAGCAAAUGGAAUGAUUUAGUAAUAUUGAGGGAAAUUCUAAAGAGAAAAGGGGGUAUAACAUUAUUUAAAGAUUAUUUUUAUUUAUUGUGAAAAUACACUGUAUGAUAAAAAAAAUUAAAGCAAUCAGAAACUUAAAAUAGAAAGUGAAAAUUCCCAAUAAACCCAUUCCUAAAAUAAUCCCUGUUAAAUGAUAUAUAUUGUCUAAAUUUUUAUCCUGUGCUUGUGACUUCUUUUUGUAAAUGUUACAUGAGGUAUUAAUCCAUUCUUUCAUUGCUGUAAAGAAAUACCUGAGACUGAGUAAUUUAUAAAGGAAAGAGGUUUAAUUGGCCCAUGGUUCUGCAGGCUUUUUGGAAGCAAAGCAUGAUGCUGGCAUCUGCUUGGCUUCUGGGGAUGCCUCUGGAAGUAAAAUCACAGCAGAAGGCGAAGGAGCAGCAGGCACCUCACAUCGCCAGAGCAGAAGCAAGAGAGAGUGGGUGCCACACUUUUAAACAGCUAGAUCUCACCAGGACUCAUUCACUAUUGUGAGGACAGUACCAAGGGGAUGAUGUAAAACUAUUAAAGAGAAAUCCACUCCCAUGAUUCAAUCACCUAUCACCAGGCCCCACUUCCAACAUUGAGGAUUAUAAUUCAACAUGAGAUUUGGGCAGGGAAACACAUCCAAACCAUAUCGUGUGAGUACCUAAAAUAUGAGUAUUUUUUCUUUGCAGGCUCUCAGGUUAAAUAAUAAAUAAAAAUUUGUUGAGCUUCUAUUACAUAACAGAUAUUAUUGCAUCAAUCUUUUCGAUAAUUGUUAUUCACAUCUUCCAUAUAAUAUCUAAUUUUUCUUGAUUAUUCAAGAAUAAAAAGAAAUUUGUUAAAGCCUCCUAACAUUUAUCUUGUUGUUUUCUUAUUUCUUGAAGUUUUGCUUUAUGUAUUUUAAUGCUGUUAUUUGAUACAUAAGCAUUUAUACUAAUAAUUUAUUUAUUGUGAGCUGUGUCAUUUGCCAUUACAAAGUGACUUUCUUUGUUCCAUGUAUUAAAAAGCUUUGUUCCAAGCUUUUUAAUAGCUUAUUCUAUCCCACUUGAAAUUAUUUGAAUUAGAUAUGUUUAACCU
Molecule: long non-coding RNA, 8979 nt
Filed under: Homo sapiens (human)
Lineage: Eukaryota; Metazoa; Chordata; Mammalia; Primates; Hominidae
Description: non-protein coding lnc-GNG5-9:4
Rfam family: mir-1255 microRNA precursor family (bases 3754-3819)
Source: RNAcentral